This 375-nucleotide ribosomal RNA is filed under the name uncultured bacterium. RNAcentral's name for it is "bacterial SSU rRNA". It matches the Rfam family "Bacterial small subunit ribosomal RNA", at positions 29 to 417 of the family's 1533-position model. The record is from RNAcentral.
AAUCAACGCUGGCGGCGUGCCUAACACAUGCAAGUCGAACGAGAAAGGGGAGCAAUCCCUGAGUACAGUGGCGACCGGGUGAGUAACACGUGACUACCUACCCUUGAGUGGGGGAUAACCUCGGGAAACCGAGGCUAAUACCGCAUAAUAUCGCAAGAUCAAAGGAGCAAUCCGCUCUUGGAGGGGGUCGCGGCUGAUUAGCUAGUUGGUAGGGUAAUUGCCUACCAAGGCGACGACGGGGAGCCGGCCUGAGAGGGCGACCGGCCACACCUGGGACUGAGACACGGCCCAGACUCCUACGGGAGGCAGCAGUGGGGAAUCUUGCGCAAUGGGCGAAAGCCUGACGCAGCGACGCCGCGUGAGGGAUGACGGCCU